This 332-nucleotide ribosomal RNA is filed under the name uncultured Flavobacterium sp. RNAcentral describes it as "bacterial SSU rRNA". It matches the Rfam family "Bacterial small subunit ribosomal RNA", at positions 143 to 473 of the family's 1533-position model. The record is from RNAcentral. Lineage: Bacteria; Pseudomonadati; Bacteroidota; Flavobacteriia; Flavobacteriales; Flavobacteriaceae.
AUAGCCCGAAGAAAUUUGGAUUAAUCCCCUAUAAUAUCAUGAAUUCGCAUGAUUUUAUGAUUAAAGCUUCGGCGGUAAAAGAUGAGCAUGCGUCCUAUUAGUUAGUAGGUGAGGUAACGGCUCACCUAGACAACGAUAGGUAGGGGUCCUGAGAGGGAGAUCCCCCACACUGGUACUGAGACACGGACCAGACUCCUACGGGAGGCAGCAGUGAGGAAUAUUGGACAAUGGACGAAAGUCUGAUCCAGCUAUGCCGCGUGCAGGAUGACGGCCCUAUGGUUUGUAAACUGCUUUUAUACAGUAAGAAAAAAUCCGACGUGUCGGAUCUUGAC